Molecule: long non-coding RNA, 3481 nt
Filed under: Volvox carteri
Lineage: Eukaryota; Viridiplantae; Chlorophyta; Chlorophyceae; Chlamydomonadales; Volvocaceae
Description: long non-coding RNA (VCAR_LNC003065)
Source: RNAcentral
GGCACAGCACGCCCCAGCAUCCGCUCUCCGGCGCCCUAGCCUUACACAACAUCACGCACACCCACUUACACCCACUUACACACACAGGCACAGGCACAGGCGUCAUGUUUCACGCACAGCGUACACCGCCACACCCAGCUGUGCCCGUGCAGUAGGCCUCAGCCCUGCUCGCUCCUAAUUAGCCGCUACUUCUGCAUGAAUGCGGCAUCAUCAAGGCUGCCGCAUGCGUACAUACAUUUCGUUGACGCGAGAGCAUGUUUGCACUUGCCCCCUUACACACGCUCCUUAUGUAAGGAGCCCUAGUGCGGCCUGGCAGUAUGUAGAUGCAAUCUGGAGAACCCCAAGCAACCAGACGCUUUCUCCAGCCCAAUACAAUAUUCUGGCUCCUAUUAAAGGGAAAGAAACCCGAUUGCAGCUGGUUGUAUCAUCCAUCCAGCUCCCUGCAUGUCUGUUGGACCAUGACCAUCUUGCAGUUCCACAGCCGCAAACUCAAACGGUAUGCAUGGACUCCCAGCCGGUGGCUGAGCCUGCAUGCCACGCAAGGUGAUGAUGGCAGCACAGCUAAGGCUUGGUACGUACCUGUAUGCAUGGCAUGGGGAUCGUGGGUGGAGGAUACACCUGCCGGUGCAGGAUUACACAUGGCUCCCUGACUGGGUAUGCAAGAUCCAAGAUACCGUCCUGGCUAGUAGUCUGGAUCAUAAAGAGUAAUGUGCUGUGCAAAGCCCCGCAUAACAGCCCCGCACGGCAUGCCUUGUGCCUGUGCUUGAUGAUAUUGGAUUCCCCCCAACAGCCAACUGGAGUUGCACACCUGCACCCAGUUCCAAGCAUGUGAUCUCAUUCCAGCAUUGCAGGCACCUGGACGAGCGGCCAACCUGUCGCAGUGCACCGCAGCAAGAGGACUGCGCCCAGGGCCUGAUGACAUCACCCAGUUUUGAUCUGGGGACCUCCUGUGUGUGAGACAGAUGUGAUUCCACUACACCAUGAUGUCAUAGCUAGGCACAGCACGCCCCAGCAUCCGCUCUCCGGCGCCCUAGCCUUACACAACAUCACGCACACCCACUUACACCCACUUACACACACAGGCACAGGCACAGGCGUCAUGUUUCACGCACAGCGUACACCGCCACACCCAGCUGUGCCCGUGCAGUAGGCCUCAGCCCUGCUCGCUCCUAAUUAGCCGCUACUUCUGCAUGAAUGCGGCAUCAUCAAGGCUGCCGCAUGCGUACAUACAUUUCGUUGACGCGAGAGCAUGUUUGCACUUGCCCCCUUACACACGCUUAAGGAGCCCUAGUGCGGCCUGGCAGUAUGUAGAUGCAACCUGGAGAACCCCAAGCAACCAGACGCUUUCUCCAGCCCAAUACAAUAUUCUGGCUCCUAUUAAAGGGAAAGAAACCCGAUUGCAGCUGGUUGUAUCAUCCAUCCAGCUCCCUGCAUGUCUGUUGGACCAUGACCAUCUUGCAGUUCCACAGCCGCAAACUCAAAUGGUAUGCAUGGACUCCCAGCCGGUGGCUGAGCCUGCAUGCCACGCAAGGUGAUGAUGGCAGCACAGCUAAGGCUUGGUACGUACCUGUAUGCAUGGCAUGGGGAUCGUGGGUGGAGGAUACACCUGCCGGUGCAGGAUUACACAUGGCUCCCUGACUGGGUAUGCAAGAUCCAAGAUACCGUCCUGGCUAGUAGUCUGGAUCAUAAAGAGUAAUGUGCUGUGCAAAGCCCCACAUAACAGCCCCGCACGGCAGGCCUUGUGCCUGUGCUUGAUGAUAUUGGAUUCCCCCCAACAGCCAAUUGGAGUUGCACACCUGCACCCAGUUCCAAGCAUGUGAUCUCAUUCCAGCAUUGCAGGCACCUGGACGAGCGGCCAACCUGUCGCAGUGCACCGCAGCAAGAGGACUGCGCCCAGGGCCUGUUGACAUCACCCAGUUUCGAUCUGGGGACCUCCUGUGUGUGAGACAGAUGUGAUUCCACUACACCAUGAUGUCGAAGCUAGGCACAGCACGCCCCAGCAUCCGCUCUCCGGCGCCCUAGCCUUACACAACAUCACGCACACCCACUUACACCCACUUACACACACAGACACAGGCACAGGCGUCAUGUUUCACGCACAGCGUACACCGCCACACCCAGCUGUGCCCGUGCAGCAGGCCUCAGUCCUGCUCGCUCCUAAUUAGCCGCUACUUCUGCAUGAAUGCAGCAUCAUCAAGGCCGCCGCAUGCGUACAUACAUUUCGUUGACGCGAGAGCAUGUUUGCACUUGCCCCCUUACACACGCUCCUUAUGUAAGGAGCCCUAGUGCGGCCUGGCAGUAUGUAGAUGCAACCUGGAGAACCCGAAGCAACCAGACGCUUUCUCCAGCCCAAUACAAUAUUCUGGCUCCUAUUAAAGGGAAAGAAACCCGAUUGCAGCUGGUUGUAUCAUCCAUCCAGCUCCCUGCAUGUCUGUUGGACCAUGACCAUCUUGCAGUUCCACAGCCGCAAACUCAAACGGUAUGCAUGGACUCCCAGCCGGUGGCUGAGCCUGCAUGCCACGCAAGGUGAUGAUGGCAGCACAGCUAAGGCUUGGUACGUACCUGUAUGCAUGGCAUGGGGAUCGUGGGUGGAGGAUACACCUGCCGGUGCAGGAUUACACAUGGCUCCCUGACUGGGUAUGCAAGAUCCAAGAUACCGUCCUGGCUAGUAGUCUGGAUCAUAAAGAGUAAUGUGCUGUGCAAAGCCCCGCAUAACAGCCCCGCACGGCAGGCCUUGUGCCUGUGCUUGAUGAUAUUGGAUUCCCCCCAACAGCCAACUGGAGUUGCACACCUGCACCCAGUUCCAAGCAUGUGAUCUCAUUCCAGCAUUGCAGGCACCUGGACGAGCGGCCAACCUGUCGCAGUGCACCGCAGCAAGAGGACUUCGCCCAGGGCCUGAUGACAUCACCCAGUUUCGAUCUGGGGACCUCCUGUGUGUGAGACAGAUGUGAUUCCACUACACCAUGAUGUCGAAGCUAGGCACAGCACGCCCCAGCAUCCGCUCUCCGGCGCCCUAGCCUUACACAACAUCACGCACACCCACUUACACCCACUUACACACACAGACACAGGCACAGGCGUCAUGUUUCACGCACAGCGUACACCGCCACACCCAGCUGUGCCCGUGCAGCAGGCCUCAGUCCUGCUCGCUCCUAAUUAGCCGCUACUUCUGCAUGAAUGCAGCAUCAUCAAGGCCACCGCAUGCAUACAUACAUUUCGUUGACACGAGAGCAUGUUUGCACUUGCCCCCUUACACACGCUCCUUAUGUAAGGAGCCCUAGUGCGGCCUGGCAGUAUGUAGAUGCAAUCUGGAGAACCCCAAGCAACCAGACGCUUUCUCCAGCCCAAUACAAUAUUCUGGCUCCUAUUAAUGCCGUACGUGUCAGGUCUGUACGUCGGGUAAGGUUGAGGAUGAAUAUCAUGUGCUUAUGGAGUGUGAGGCGUAUACUGAGUUGCGUAAUAGGUUUCUGAUUAACGUUGA